GCAGAGAUUAAAUCUCGUACCUUUUGCAUCAUGAUCUAGCCAGUAACCUNCAAGCAAAGAGCCCUCUAGUUUGAAACCCCGAAACCAGACGAGCUACUCCGGGGCGGCCUAUAAACAUAGGGCUAACCCGUCUCUGUGGCAAAAGGGUGGGAUGACCCCCGAGUAGAAGUGACAUACCUAUCGAGUCAGGUUAUAGCUGGUUGCCCAAGAAAUGAAUAGGAGUUCAGCCUCGCUGAGCCCUAAGCCACGAUAGUUUCACUUGAAUAAGGCGACAGGAUAUCUGCGAGAGUUAGUCAGAGGGGGAACAGCCCCUCUGACAAAGGAUACAACCUCCACAGGAGGCUAAGGAAUACAUUUGACAAGGCCAAAGGUUUCAGUGGGCCUGAAAGCAGCCAUCUGAAUAGAAAGCGUUAAAGCUCAAACCAGAUUUAAGCCUAUAAUCCCAUUUUACUCCCCAACGCCCCUAAUUUAUAUUGGGCCUUCCUAUGCCUCCAUAGGAGAGACCAUGCUAGAACGAGUAAUAAGAAGUAACGAACUUCUCCUUGGCAUACGUGUAAGUCGAUCUGGACUCGCCAUCGACAAUUAACGAACCCAAUAACAGAGGGACAUGCAUUCCCGCCAUAACAAGCCAGGAAAACCAUGCAGCCUCCCAAUCGUUACCCCUACACAGGUGUGCUUAAAAAAGGAAAGACUAAAAGAAUAAAAAGGAACUCGGCAAGCCUUAACCCCGCCUGUUUACCAAAGACACCGCCUCCUGCUCUAACUGUAUAGGAGGUCCCGCCUGCCCCGUGAUCA
Molecule: ribosomal RNA, 795 nt
Filed under: Herklotsichthys gotoi (Goto's herring)
Lineage: Eukaryota; Metazoa; Chordata; Actinopteri; Clupeiformes; Clupeidae
Description: partial 16S ribosomal RNA
Rfam family: Bacterial large subunit ribosomal RNA
Source: RNAcentral